UUUCAUAUGGAUGGGAACAAACACAUGUGUAUGCAUUUUUGAAUAUAAAAGUUUUGUGGCGGUACUUGGCAAGCAAUUUUCUCACACUUUACUGUGGCUAUUGGUGCUGAUCUUGAACUAAAGGUAAAUGGAACAGCAUGGAUGUGGAUUUUUAGACACAAGGAAGCUGAAUUUAACUUUUAAUGAAGAAUUUAAAUGAUGAUUGUCCAUGAAAAGAAAUAUUAAUCAUAUACAUUGUAAUGCUGUAUUGAUGCAUCUUCUGUUUUAAGUAAUUAAAAAAC
Molecule: long non-coding RNA, 281 nt
Organism: Physella acuta
Lineage: Eukaryota; Metazoa; Mollusca; Gastropoda; Physidae
Source: RefSeq, a predicted model, not a curated record